GCGCUGUCUUCAGCAGCACAUAUACUAAAGUUGGAACGGUGCACAGCAGAUUAGCAUGGCCCUACACAAGGAGGACGUGCAAGUUCAUGAAGCGUUCCAUAUUGAA
Erinaceus europaeus (western European hedgehog) is the source of this 106-nucleotide small nuclear RNA. The record is from Ensembl. NCBI's taxonomy places the organism in Eukaryota, Metazoa, Chordata, Mammalia, Eulipotyphla, Erinaceidae.